UACGUAGGGGGCAAGCGUUGUCCGGAUUUAUUGGUCGUCAAGAACGUGUAGGCGGCUUUACAGGUCCGUUGUGAAAACUCGAGGCUCAACCUCGAGACGCCGGUGGAAACUGCAAAGCUAGAGUCCGGAAGAGGAGAGUGGAAUUCCUGGUGUAGCGGUGAAAUGCGCAGAUAUCGGGAAGAACACCCGUGGCGAAGGCGGCUCUCUGGGACGGUACUGACGCUGAGACGCGAAAGCGUGGGGAGCGAACAGG
This 253-nucleotide ribosomal RNA is filed under the name uncultured bacterium. RNAcentral's name for it is "partial 16S ribosomal RNA". It matches the Rfam family "Bacterial small subunit ribosomal RNA", at positions 524 to 776 of the family's 1533-position model. The record is from RNAcentral.